RNAcentral lists this transfer RNA (80 nucleotides) under Patescibacteria group bacterium. Its description in RNAcentral is "tRNA-Leu". It matches the Rfam family "tRNA". From Rfam's summary of the family: Transfer RNA (tRNA) molecules are approximately 80 nucleotides in length. Their secondary structure includes four short double-helical elements and three loops (D, anti-codon, and T loops). RNAcentral also lists the same sequence under 4 other names. The record is from RNAcentral.
GCAGGCGUGGCGGAAUUGGCAUACGCGCACGGCUUAGGACCGUGUUCUUCGGAGUGUGGGUUCGACUCCCACCGCCUGCA